Scylla paramamosain (green mud crab) is the source of this 543-nucleotide long non-coding RNA. RefSeq lists it as uncharacterized. NCBI's taxonomy places the organism in Eukaryota, Metazoa, Arthropoda, Malacostraca, Decapoda, Portunidae. The transcript has 4 exons. The record is from RefSeq and is a predicted model, not a curated record.
AGAUGGCGGCGGCGCUUGAUGCAGGUAUUUCAGGGCAGGUCAGAGACGCAUGCGCAGUUCAAGUCAAGAGUCGCAGGAGGAGGCGGAGGGAAGGCUGGGUAAGGCGAAAGGCGGGCAGUGGCCAGCCGGCAGCCGAGGAGUGAAGGUUGUGAAAGCGAGGGCAGCAGAGGAUGGAGCCGAGGAACGAUGAGUGUGGUCCGUGGCGUGAAGACGAAAACGAGAACGAGGAUUAAAAGAAAGGACGGCGACAGGACGGCGACGAGAAGAACGAGGGAAGGAGGUGGUGAGAUGCCAAUCAGCUGGAUGGAGACGCAGUAGUGUGUGGACUGUCACGUGACAGCAUUAGAGGGCAGCCAGCAGGAUGGAACCAAACAGUGUGGACGUGACAGCAUUAGCCCCUCACCCCUACCACCGUCAGGGGUGGGGGGCAUUUUGACACUGUAGGUGUGACUUGGUUGGCUGUGUUGCCAAUAAACGAUGACCUGAGUGUAGAGAGAGGACUCUCCCAACUUGUAAAUUUAUUUAUUUAUUUUUUUUUACUGA